UUGUGUAGUGCGAUGUGGGGACGGAUCUUAAUAGGUCAUCCGGGUGUUGGAUAUCCCGGUUUAGGCAGAUGUAGGCGACAGGUAGGCAAAUCCGCCUGUCAUAUACCGAGGCUGCCGAUCGAGCGAGCUUGCUCGCGAAGUGAUUGAACGAGGUUCCAGGAAAAGCCACUAAGCUUCAGCUACACACGACCGUACCGCAAACCGACACUGGUGCGCGAGAUGAGUAUUCUAAGGCGCUUGAGAGAACUCGGGAGAAGGAACUCGGCAAAUUGACACCGUAACUUCGGAAGAAGGUGUGCCCUAGUAGUGUGAAGUGAACAACGGAGCAUGAAUGGGUUGCAAAAAAUCGGUGGCUGCGACUGUUUAUUAAAAACACAGCACUCUGCAAACACGAAAGUGGACGUAUAGGGUGUGACGCCUGCCCGGUGCUGGAAGAUUAAAUGAUGGGGUGCAAGCUCUUGAUUGAAGUCCCAGUAAACGGCGGCCGUAACGAUAACGGUCCUAAGGUAGCGAAAUUCCUUGUCGGGUAAGUUCCGACCUGCACGAAUGGCGUAACGAUGGCCACACUGUCUCCUCCCGAGACUCAGCGAAGUUGAAAUGUUUGUGAUGAUGCAAUCUCCCCGCGGAAAGACGGAAAGACCCCAUGAACCUUUACUGUAGCUUUGUAUUGGACUUUGAACAGAUCUGUGUAGGAUAGGUGGGAGGCUUUGAAGCAGGGUCGCUAGAUCUUGUGGAGCCAACGUUGAAAUACCACCCUGGUGUGUUUGAGGUUCUAACCUAGGUCCAUUAUCUGGAUCGGGGACAGUGCAUGGUAGGCAGUUUGACUGGGGCGGUCUCCUCCCAAAGCGUAACGGAGGAGUUCGAAGGUACGCUAGUUACGGUCGGACAUCGUGACGAUAGUGCAAUGGCAUAAGCGUGCUUAACUGCGAGACUGACAAGUCGAGCAGAUGCGAAAGCAGGACAUAGUGAUCCGGUGGUUCUGUAUGGAAGGGCCAUCGCUCAACGGAUAAAAGGUACUCUGGGGAUAACAGGCUGAUACCGCCCAAGAGUUCAUAUCGACGGCGGUGUUUGGCACCUCGAUGUCGGCUCAUCUCAUCCUGGGGCUGUAGCCGGUCCCAAGGGUAUGGCUGUUCGCCAUUUAAAGAGGUACGUGAGCUGGGUUUAAAACGUCGUGAGACAGUUUGGUCCCUAUCUUCCGUGGGCGCUGCAGAUUUGAGGAAGCCUGCUCCUAGUACGAGAGGACCGGAGUGGACGCACCUCUGGUGUAUCGGUUGUCACGCCAGUGGCAUUGCCGAGUAGCUAUGUGCGGAAGAGAUAACCGCUGAAAGCAUCUAAGCGGGAAACUCGUUCCAAGAUGAGAUCUGCCGGGGCCUUGAGCCCCCUAAAGAGUCGUUCAAGACCAGGACGUUGAUAGGUCAGGUGUGGAAGCGCAGUAAUGCGUUAAGCUAACUGAUACUAAUUGCUCGUGCGGCUUGACCU
RNAcentral lists this ribosomal RNA (1479 nucleotides) under metagenome. RNAcentral's name for it is "bacterial LSU rRNA". It matches the Rfam family "Bacterial large subunit ribosomal RNA", at positions 1446 to 2925 of the family's 2925-position model. The record is from RNAcentral.